Molecule: long non-coding RNA, 1006 nt
Organism: Carassius auratus (goldfish)
Lineage: Eukaryota; Metazoa; Chordata; Actinopteri; Cypriniformes; Cyprinidae
Exons: 3
Source: RefSeq, a predicted model, not a curated record
UAAAUCACAUUUUAUGUUACACUUGCCAGCAGAAGGACAUACGGGACCAGUGGAGAUGUUGAGGGGUUAUAAGAGAAUAUUUAGUGUGACAGCAGAAAUAAAGGUCAUUAUAAAGGUCAGUUCCAGCACUGCAAGGUUAUUCAUGAGUGUAAGUGAAUUCAACACAUGCACGCCACAGGAUACUGACCCUCUCUACGUCCUGUAUAUAGGUCCAGUUCAGAGUUUAAUUAUGUAUACAGCGCCGGCAGUCAUUCCAAGGGCAAUGAUUCUGUCACAGAUGUAUGUAAAUGUUGAUUUUAUGCAUCCUUGCUUUCACCACAGGUUUACAUCAGGGUCCAGCAUCCAUACCGAACCGACUCUAAAGUUCAGCCUAAACCCUGUGGAAAAUAAAACAGCGACGAUGUCAAGUGACAGGAAAUCAAUCACUGAACGAUACCACUGGCAAACACUGCAGAAGGACGAUUUCUCAGACUGUCCAUCAUCACGGUCUGUUCAAACAUGUCUCAUGUCGGUGAUGCCAGAAGUGUCAUGCUUGUUCAAACCAAGCACAUGUGAGCGUGCAUUUUAAAGGAAUAGUUUACCCAAAAUGAAAAUUUGUACUCACCCUCAGGCCGUUCAGAUUUAUUCAGCCUUAGGCCAUGCGAAAUGAAGAUGAGUUUGUCAUAACAGAUUUGUGGAAAUUUAACAUUACAUCACUUGCUCACCGAUGGAUCCAGUGAAUGGGUGCCAUCAGAAUGAGAGUCCAAACAGCUGAUAAAAACAUCACAAUAAUGUAACUAAUCAUGAUCUGCGUGUUAAGACUUUAUUUUUUUUAUUUUUUUUACUUCAAACCCUUGCUUCCAGCUGAAAAUAUGUGUUCUGUGUUUAUAAUGUUGUUUUAUCUGGUGAAAAUGUUUUGUCUGAAUCAGGAGAGAAAUAUGCACAAGAACAUGCAAAAACAGUUCUAAAUUGGCAAACUUUUUCUUUAAGAAACUUUUUCACUGGCAGAAGCCCUAUUAUGGAUUUU